This 257-nucleotide ribosomal RNA is filed under the name uncultured archaeon. RNAcentral describes it as "partial 16S ribosomal RNA". It matches the Rfam family "Archaeal small subunit ribosomal RNA", at positions 748 to 1005 of the family's 1478-position model. The record is from RNAcentral.
AGGGUGUAAACGCUGCAGACUUGGUGUUGGAAGCCCUUUGGGGGCAUUCAGUGCCGGAGAGAGGUUGUUAAGUCUGCUACUUGGGGAGUACGUCCGCAAGGAUGAAACUUAAAGGAAUUGGCGGGGGAGCACCGCAACGGGAGGAGCGUGCGGUUUAAUUGGAUUCAACACCGUAAACUCACCAGGGAAGACUGUCACAUGAAGGCCGAGAUGAAGACUCUGCUAGAUUUUCAGAGAGGAGGUGCAUGGCGUCAGUG